GUUCACUGACUGAGCCACCCAGGCGCCCUUUCUAAGCCCUUUUGAGUUCACGCGUAUGGAAUUUAAGAAGUAAGACAAAUGAGCAACAAUGGAAAAAGGAGACAAAAAAUAAACAAAAAACCAGAAUUCUAAUACAGAGAACAAGCCGGCGGAUGCCAGAGGCAAGUGAGGGCAGAAAGAAAAAAGGAACCAUUGCUUGAGCUUCAGACAGAAACAAUGAAUGCUGGCCUGUGCCGUGUUUCUUCUAUCAGGAAGAACAGCUU
This is a long non-coding RNA of Mustela erminea (ermine), 263 nucleotides long. RefSeq lists it as uncharacterized. The transcript has 3 exons. The record is from RefSeq and is a predicted model, not a curated record. Lineage: Eukaryota; Metazoa; Chordata; Mammalia; Carnivora; Mustelidae.